UGGCUCCUCACUCAAUGUUGCAGAAGGAAGGAGAACACCGAGAACACGAACAUUGAGGUCUUGGCUGUAACGGUUUUUCUAAGGAGCAACGAUCCUGCUAUCUCGCGCAGAAAGCCCGCCACUGCGUAAUUUACAGCGGCCGAACCAGCCCCAACCCGCCCUGCAUUCUGUCGCUGCUCGCAGUAGGUGCAGCUAAAUAGAGGGACCUUAGGUGCAGCCACAACUCUAACCGCGGGCGCUCCAUAGACUAUCCUGACGAUGCUAGUGGUGACCGGAAACCGCGGCGUAGUGACGUCAACAAUGGUGUUUCGUUCCUGCGCAGUCUCCGCAAACGUGCCUGACCGUGCUUGUUUCUGCUAGCGUGCCGUGAUAAUCUGCUUCGACCGACCCUGCAUUCCUUUGUUGGUGUGUUUGCGUUUAUGUAGAGUGGUAUAGUCAACGUGCGCAGCAUCAAUUGAAGUGGUGGGCCGAUCAUGCCGGCUUUCUGUGCAGCCUACGGUUGCACGAGCACCAGCGGCCGCGACGAUGUUGUCUUCCAUUGCUUCCCGCAAGACAAGAAGCUUGCAACUAAGUGGGAGGCUGCUGUGAGGCGAAAGAAUUUCAAGCCCUCAAGAACAACAGUGCUGUGCUCCAACCACUUCCGUGACGACGAUUACUACCAGAAUUUAUCAAUAAUGCGUGCGUUGGGUUUGCCAAUCAAGUCGGCUCGACUAAGGCCCGGAGCAGUUCCGUCAGUGUUCGUGUACACAAGGAGCUCGUCAAGGCCAGCUUUCGCGCAAAGAAAGAAGCUUGAGGUUCCUACUGAACUGUUAGGCGACAUGGCUUGCACUGAAGACUGCUCUACAAGAAACUUGCCACUAGUAGAUGAUGCCCAAGAACCAGCACUGAUCUCCCAUAAAGGUGACAAGUGCGUUCAAGUCAUCGUGCGGCCUGCAAACUGCUCUAAGGCAUCACAGGUGAACAUGAAAAGAAAAGUCAAAUCAAAGGCAGCACAGACAAAGCCUUGUGGUGUUUCUAUAGGACUCGGUUAGCAGCCACGCACUGCCAUGGGAACAGUGAGAGAAGGCAGGCACGCACACAGGAUGGCACUUCUAGGUGGAUUGUGAAAUACCCGAAAGCCACAGGAGGCAAUGCGGUUGCCUGUCCUGUAACGGAGCAACCCACACGUGGCUAUGUGAAGAGACUACCGGAUGUGGUUAUGCUGGAUGCUGCGACAGUGUUACGGACGAGAAUGGCCACAAAUGCGAAGAUUCUGCCGUCUCUCGGCAGCCACUUUCCUAAAGCAUCAAUGGAAGAGCUCGUAAACAGGCGGAGAACAAGAUUCAACAAGUAGUUAGAUAUAAAUGGUCUUGUAGCAAAAUGUAGCGAGAAUGCCAACAAUAUGAAAAGCUGGCUUGCGCCUAAAACAAGCCAUUGUGGACUCGUGACACAGUGCAUGACAAACUACCUUUGCGACAGCUUAACGACAUCCAUAUAACUUUAUACAUAUGUGUUUGUGUAUGCUAGGAUUGGCUGUUUUUCUAUUUUACGUGUGUGGCAACCAGAUAAAAUGACACCGAAUAAAAUGUAUAUGUGCUUCCAAAUUCACUUUUUACUUAUUGUGCCAAAAGCUUUUACUACAUGCAUGAAAGUUGUAAAGUCACAUGGGAAGUGAUGCAAAAGUGGUUCAUAAUGUCAAGAGCGGUGCAUGCAGCGAUUCAGUUUCUUUACUAACACAUGUUUAAAUACUCCGACACAGCUUGAAAAAUGUUUGAACCCUGUGUACACUCCAUUUUGAGGUGGGUAUUUCUUCCGGAUAGCACACAGGACACAAUUUGGCAGAAUGUGCCUCUUGUGCUUGCCCAUUCUUCUCCAUAUGAGCCAUGCAAAUUGCCGAUAUGCAGCAUAUCUCAACUGCCUGUGGAUGUUAAAGUAAAUUAUAUUACAGCACAUAUCUGAUCUAUAUCAAAUCUCACCUGUUUGUGGAAUCUUUGUCACCUUUUCCUGAUAAAGUGGUACCUUGCUGCACCAGUGCCACUUCAAGCACAGUCCUGUUCAGACAAGUCUUCAAAUUUUCAUGACCUUGUGAUGCAUUGUGCAUGCUUCUGCUUUUGAGUGAUUUCGUUAAUUUCUUGACAGCAGCAGCAGUCCUGUUCAUUGGGGUACAGUGAUGGCACGAACACAUAUUAAGAGUGAAGUGUGUUUAAAAUGGCAUCACUGAGCUACCAAAAAAGCAUUUGCAUUCAUGAACACAUGCAAAGAACUAGUAACAAAUUACAAAGUGCACCUUAGCUUGAUACAUUAUUGAGCGCACAGCAGGUUUCCCACAGCCAGACCUGUGAUUUGGCCUGCGCAGUUGCUGUAUAUGACCACAGUAUGAGAGAGGACGACUUGCUACUAGCAGGCUUUCUAAACACAACGCGAAAAUAUAGGAGGAACGAACACCAAGACGGGACGGGUGUGGAUGGACGGAUGAUAACUGGUGUUGGAAAGCCUUAUGAAUACACGAAUUCGCCCAAACCUGCAUUUUGAUUUACUGCUAGCUCCUUCGUGUUAGCACGCUGAACGGAAAGUGCAUGUUUAUCUCCCACCCUUGACGCAGGUUUCGUCGCAAAGCGCCACGAAUUUUCUAUUUGCACGUGUGUUGUAAAACAGCCUGCAUACAGCUACCAUAACGCAGUGCAAGUGUAGAGUUUGCAUGUGCUGGAAAGCCAGCACACGCCAGGACACUACGCUCCCCCUUCUCUCGCGCACAGCAAGAAACCAUAGAAUAAAUGGCAAGAAACCGCCCGUCUCACGUAGCUGACGGAAUUCGCCGCCUUUAGGGCCUGUUUGCACUCGAGCCGCCCAUUGCUGCAAGCCGUACCGCACGCUUGCGGUCGCGCAAAAGAUUGCACAUAUCAAAUAUUUGUGCACAAAUUUCGGUUUCCAAUGUGUGAGGUAUACAUUGUGUACACAGUGUAAACGGUAAUUUGUGCACAAGUGCUGGAUAUGUGCAAUAUUUCACGAGAAAAGUUUGCCAAAGUCUGGUGCCUACUGUCAGCGGCAGGUGUGUUCGUGUACUGUAUCGCUGUGUUUCUUGUCGGACGGGGUGAAGUGAUGGAGCAAAACCAUUCUCAGGAGAAAUGAGAAAAGCGUGCGCGCAUGAAACAAACCUACGAGCGUCUCAACAGAAAAUAUUUGCAAAAGAAGCUUCCAACGCAAAGAUUUGUCGCCGUCAACUUAGCGUGAACGAACGCUGUCAGCAGUGAGAUAGCCGAGCAUCUAACGGCGGUGUUCAAGCAUGGUGUAGGACUUGAGACUGACUCCAACCAAAUAACUGAAUUCAGUUAUUUGGUUGGAGUCAGUCUCAAGUCCUAAUCAAUUUCCCAACCAGACAGGCAAUUCUGUCAAAAUGUUUAGCUUCAAGUGUUGUGUUGCACCGUCGAUUGAUUGCUUUCCACAAGUGCUCACCGCGCGCACAAGCUGUAGAAUGCGUGCUGUGGCACAGUCACGCAUAAGAUGUGUUGCCAGCGCUCAAUAUCGUUUUCCACAACAUAGCUUUGCACUGCUUUUCGAUUCUUGUGAUAUGUUGCAAUUAAAGAUUCCCAAGACAGUGUUAAGAGAACGAUUUAAAAGAAGACAUACGAGAAGGUAGGCACAUCAGCUUGUGAACCCGCUCCUAUAAUACCUCUACCCGCGUCUGUAAAUGUAUGUUUUCUUGUGUUUGUCAAAUCUUUUUAUUUCCCACAUUUCUUUAUAUUUGAGAUUUCCUUAGUUUUCGCGUUUGUGUGUGAAUACGUGCCUGCUUCCAUGCGUGUUUGUGCUUACUCUUAUUUCUGUCCUUUUAUUUUAUCUUAGCAUUUGUUUUUGCUAGUUUUCUUUCAGCAAAGUCUUUUUACACAUUUUCGUUAACCGCUCUCAUUCAAAGCACUAACUCCUGUACACUGCAGGGCUGGCCUCUUCCAUCUCAUUAAAACUUUUCUCACUGGUCUACCUCGUCUUCUCAAUCUGCCUACUCGCUGUGUUUUCCGUUCUUGCUUCUUUUGUGGUUGCUGCAGUGUGAUUAACCAACUUGCUCAAACCAAAUUUUGAUCGCCUAUGAAAACAAAGGUUUACAGAUACAUUUUCUUAAAAGCGUUAUGUGGGUUACACAGUAACUUUGCCUCUUACCACUGUUUGUAUUUAUGCAUUGGUGCAUGUGGCAGCUCGCCAGAAGUGCACAUGAAAGGCUGCAUAUUGCGAAACAACACCUUGCUAUGCUGUUGCAUUUUUCAUGCAUUCAGUCUUAGUAAGCAGAUGGUUUCGCUGCCCAUCACCUAUGAUGGUAAAAAGUUUCAACACGAAUAACAUUGUGCAGUGGGGUAUCAUUUCCUGUCUGACGCUUUCAUCGUUACAAAGACAUUUUUCAGUAAAUGGAGCCCAGGAAAGCAGUACACUGAGAGCUUUUGCAACUUUCACCUUUUAUUUCUUGACCAAUGUCAUUGUCUAAACCUGGCCGUCGAUCGCCAUGCUGAUGGCUUGUGAAUUAAAUAAUUGCCUCAAUAAAACACAUUCAACUUUACUCGGCAUUUUUUAGUACAAACAAUGCUAGCAGAGUUAUUCAGGGUGAAUAAUUGUGUUUACAUUUGGUGUUACUUGCCUGGUCAGGUAAACGAAUACAACAAUGGCUGCGGUGCGACUGUGAUUUGAUGUGUAGACUGCAAACGGUGCCUUUCAAGCGUGCCCUCGACUACUGCUAUUAACAGCUACCCAAAUGAGUUUUAUGGGCCUCACUUAGCUAAUGUUUGAUAAUUGUUCUCUUAUUUGCAUUACUUGCCUGGGCCAGGUAGCCAAAAUAAACAAUGCCACCACAUGAAUGUGUUUUUGCAUGCAAGCUGCCAACAGUGGCUUUCAUUUUUGCACUGACUGCUGCCGUUUCACCAACAGUGGCGACGGCUUGACUGAUUUGAUGUGCAGACUGCAAACGGUGCCUUUCAAGCGUGCCCUCGACUACUGCUAUUAAUAGCUACCCAAAUGAGUUUUCUGGGUCUCACUAGGCUAAUGAUGUUUGAUAAUUGUUCUCUUAUUCGCAUUACUUGCCUGAGCCAUGUAACCGAUAUAAAGAAUGCGACCAUAUGAAUGUGCUUUCGCAUGCAAACUGCUAAAAGUGGCGGUCAAUUUCGCGUUGACUACUGCUGUUUCGCCUACAAUGGCUACCACAUGGCUGCGCUUUGAAGUGCAGAUGCCAAAGGUACCUUUCAAGCGUGCCCCGACUACUGUUAUUUCAUCACAGGGCCCGUCAUGCUCGUCGGUGGCUGCCCAAUAGAGUAUUUUGGGCCUUCUGACAUUGGCAUUAUUCAUCUCAACAGGCUGGAAAAAACAGUAGGGGCAGCACAACUACGUGAAAGCAGGCUGCCUAACAGGGACAUUUUGCUCUGCAUCGCACUUAUUUGUUCAGGUGGAUUUAUGAAAUUAAAUGACUGUGCAGUGGAGUAAACCGAGCCGACGGUGUGUUUUUGUUGUUACUUGGCUGCAUGUAUUGGCUUUCAGGGGCACGUAAACUUGACGAUGGCUGUGACACGGCUGCUAUUGUUUUCCUUUCGACACGCAGGCUGCCAAGAUUGGCGGUCAAUUUCGCCUUGGCUGCUGCUGCUUCACCAUAGGGCCCGUCAACUCUAGAAUGGCUGCCCUAGUGAGCACUUUGGGCCUCACUAAUGCCAAUGAUGCUUUAUAACUGUUCUCUUAUUCACAGUAUUUGUGUGAGCCAGAUAACCAAAAUAAACAAUGCAACCACAUGAA
This is a non-coding RNA of Dermacentor andersoni, 5739 nucleotides long. Lineage: Eukaryota; Metazoa; Arthropoda; Arachnida; Ixodida; Ixodidae. The record is from RefSeq and is a predicted model, not a curated record.